CCUACGGGAGGCAGCAGUGAGGAAUAUUGGUCAAUGGGCGCGAGCCUGAACCAGCCAAGCCGCGUGAAGGACGAAGGUGCCAAGCAUUGUAAACUUCUUUUGUCAAGGGACAAAAUCAGGCUAGAGAGCCUGACCGAGGGUACUUGAAGAAAAAGCAUCGGCGAACUCCGUGCCAGAAGCCGCGGUAAUACGGAGGAUGCGAGCGUUAUCCGGAUGUAUUGGGUUUAAAGGGUGCGUAGGCGGGCUGUUAAGGCAGCGGUAAAAGCCCGGGGCUCAACCCCGGCGAGCCGUUGAAACUGGCUGUCUUGAGAUGUCGAGAGGUAUGCGGAAUGCGCAGUGUAGCGGUGAAAUGCUUAGAUAUUGCGCAGAACUCCGAUUGCGAAGGCAGCAUACCGGCGGCGAUCUGCCGCUGAGGCACGAAAGCGUGGGUAUCGAACAGGAUUAGAUACCCGAGUAGUC
RNAcentral lists this ribosomal RNA (459 nucleotides) under uncultured bacterium. RNAcentral's name for it is "partial 16S ribosomal RNA". It matches the Rfam family "Bacterial small subunit ribosomal RNA", at positions 338 to 795 of the family's 1533-position model. The record is from RNAcentral.